RNAcentral lists this ribosomal RNA (416 nucleotides) under Monodon monoceros (narwhal). RNAcentral describes it as "partial 12S ribosomal RNA". It matches the Rfam family "Bacterial small subunit ribosomal RNA", at positions 796 to 1399 of the family's 1533-position model. Lineage: Eukaryota; Metazoa; Chordata; Mammalia; Artiodactyla; Monodontidae. The record is from RNAcentral.
UUAGUCGUAAACUUAAAUAGUCCUUAAAACAAGACUAUUCGCCAGAGUACUACCGGCAACAGCCCGAAACUCAAAGGACUUGGCGGUGUUUCAUAUCCCUCUAGAGGAGCCUGUUCUAUAAACGAUAAACCCCGAUCAACCUCACCAAUCCUUGCUACUUCAGUCUAUAUACCGCCAUCUUCAGCAAACCCUAAAAGGGAACGAAAGUAAGCACAACUAUCGCACGUAAAAACGUUAGGUCAAGGUGUAACCUAUGGGUUGGGAAGAAAUGGGCUACAUUUUCUGUAACAAGAACACCCCUUAAGUCUAUACGAAAGUUUUUAUGAAAACUAAAAACCAAAGGAGGAUUUAGCAGUAAAUUAAGAAUAGAAUGCUUAAUUGAAUAAGGCCAUGAAACACGCACACACCGCCCGUCA